This 107-nucleotide microRNA precursor is filed under the name Cricetulus griseus (Chinese hamster). RNAcentral's name for it is "miRNA (ENSCGRG00001007185.1)". The record is from RNAcentral. Lineage: Eukaryota; Metazoa; Chordata; Mammalia; Rodentia; Cricetidae.
GAGUUUUUGUGUGAAUUACUGCAUUGUCUAUUAUCUAAUUAGAACAUACGCACAGGGAUGGAGAGAUGGCUCAGCCAUUAAAGGCUAGGCUCACAACCAAAAAUAUA